AUACGUAGGUGGCAAGCGUUGUCCGGAAUUAUUGGGCGUAAAGCGCGCGCAGGCGGCUUCUUAAGUCUGAUGUGAAAGCCCACGGCUCAACCGUGGAGGGUCAUUGGAAACUGGGAGGCUUGAGUGCAGAAGAGGAGAGCGGAAUUCCACGUGUAGCGGUGAAAUGCGUAGAGAUGUGGAGGAACACCAGUGGCGAAGGCGGCUCUCUGGUCUGUAACUGACGCUGAGGCGCGAAAGCGUGGGUAGCGAACAGGAUUAGAUACCCUGGUAGUCCACGCCGUAAACGAUGAGUGCCAAGUGUUAGGGGGUUUCCGCCCCUUAGUGCUGCAGCAAACGCAUUAAGCACUCCGCCUGGGGAGUACGGCCGCAAGGCUGAA
This 377-nucleotide ribosomal RNA is filed under the name uncultured bacterium. RNAcentral describes it as "bacterial SSU rRNA". It matches the Rfam family "Bacterial small subunit ribosomal RNA", at positions 523 to 898 of the family's 1533-position model. The record is from RNAcentral.